GACCUCAAAUCAGGUAAGGACACCCGCUGAACUUAAGCAUAUCAAUAAGCGGAGGAAAAGAAAAUAACAAUGAUUCCCCUAGUAACUGCGAGUGAAGAGGGACAAGCUCAAAUUUUAAAUCCAUCGGGUUUUACCUGAUCGAGUUGUAAUUUGAAGAAGCGUUUUCUGCGUAUUUGAUCAGCCUAAGUCCUAUUGAAUGAGGCAUCACGGAGGGUGAUAAUCCCGUCCGGUUGAUCAUUUGCGUUUUACGAUACGCUUUCUAAGAGUCAAGUUGUUUGGGAUUGCAGCUUAAAAUGGGAGGUAAAUUUCUCCUAAGGCUAAAUAACGGCGAGAGACCGAUAGCGAACAAGUACCGUGAGGGAAAGAUGAAAAGAACUUUGAAAAGAGAGUUAAACAGUACGUGAAAUUGUUGAAAGGGAAACGAUUGAAGCCAGUCGUACCUUCGGGUAAUCAGCCUUUCGGGUGCGAUUCUGUGGAGUGUGAGGAGCUUAAACACCUUCAUGUUUUGCAUAUUCGUACUCUUGGGUGUACUUGCCCGUGUGGUUGGUUAACAUCAAUUUUGGUGGUCAUAAAAUGACUGGGGGAAUGUAGCUUCGAUCUUGUAUUGAAGUGUUAUAGCCUUCGGUAGAUGUGAUGAUCGAGAUUGAGGAUUGCAACGGAUACCCUUUGGGGCUACCUGUCUGAUCUCUGAUCGUUGCUUUGGUGCCGAAAGCUUGCUUACGGUUAUCAAAGUCGAUGGUCAAUAGGUUAGAACGGGUUAAAUUCGUUAAGGAUGUUGACGUAAUGGUUUUAAACGACCCGUCUUGAAACACGGACCA
Molecule: ribosomal RNA, 818 nt
Filed under: Rhizophagus irregularis DAOM 181602=DAOM 197198
Lineage: Eukaryota; Fungi; Glomeromycota; Glomeromycetes; Glomerales; Glomeraceae
Description: eukaryotic LSU rRNA
Rfam family: Eukaryotic large subunit ribosomal RNA
Source: RNAcentral